This is a long non-coding RNA of Misgurnus anguillicaudatus (oriental weatherfish), 1091 nucleotides long. RefSeq lists it as uncharacterized. Lineage: Eukaryota; Metazoa; Chordata; Actinopteri; Cypriniformes; Cobitidae. The record is from RefSeq and is a predicted model, not a curated record.
CUUGUUUCAGAGAUUUACAGAAUUAGAGGACACCACCGGCGGAUGUCAGGCUUAUCCCAGAAGCUUGUUUCCAGGUGCCACUGCAAAGAACAAAUAAAUCACCGAAGCAAAGUGGGAGAGAGAGGCCUGUUGUUUUGUCUCCCGAGUCACCUCUCUUGCCCCCAUCGAUGACUUUUGCAAACAAUAUACCAACGGUUGUGUUACGGGUGAGUGGAUAUCUGGAAAAGCAGUACCUCAACAGAGACCACAGUGAUUUGAAGAAGGGCUCUCGAGCAUGCACCGGGGCCCUUGGGUUGGCCCCUCCAACACCAUGUCCCCGGGAGGGGGGCCGCUUACUCUUUUGAGCUCUUCUCCGGAGAGGCUGUAAAGCGCUGGCCUCCGCAGGCCACAAAUCAGCUCCUGAAAGCAGGCAUGCAUCUUCAAAGGGUGGGCUGCUCUUCUGUGAUAUACGGCCCCCGCCGAGAACAAGUUAGCCACGGCCAGUGUCUUUGCACCUGGGCCAUUAUCAGGCGACCGGGAUCAUCUCCUCUCACCACACAUUCAAAUGUACAAGUAGCAGAUUAGGCUGACUCAAUCUUCUUUCCUUCUGAAGGAUAGGGUGAGAGAGAGAGAGCGAGAGAGGGAGGAAGAGAAAAAGAAAACCCCGUGGACUUCAAAAAGAGCUCGCUCUCUCUCUUUCUAAGAGAGUGAAAGGGGCAGGAGAUGAAAUCGGAGGGGGGCUUGUGUAUUCAGAGAACUAAUUCAGAACUGAUUUCUCUAAUACACUCCUGAAACACUUUUAAUUGUGUUAGUUUGCAUUCAAAAGGCGCAUUUGCAGCUUUUAAUUGGCGAGCGCUUUGAAAUAAUUGAAAUGUGUGACUUUGUGAGGGACAAUUUAAACAGUUCUAAUGUGCUUUGCUGGUAGGUGCUGACUGCCUAUUAUUGCCUCAUUCUGACACGGUGGCAUUUUGAAGGGGUCUUGGAGAUGUGUUCGCCAAAUAAAAAAGCUAUCAAGGAUCGGUACAAUGGAAGCUACAUUGUCUAAUGUGGUAAACACUACAUAGUACCUGGUAAUUGCAAUUAGGUUGGAUGAAACCUCUCAUUGUGGUGAA